RNAcentral lists this ribosomal RNA (906 nucleotides) under Lactiplantibacillus plantarum. Its description in RNAcentral is "bacterial SSU rRNA". It matches the Rfam family "Bacterial small subunit ribosomal RNA", at positions 325 to 1224 of the family's 1533-position model. Lineage: Bacteria; Bacillati; Bacillota; Bacilli; Lactobacillales; Lactobacillaceae. The record is from RNAcentral.
AAAGGCCCAAACUAAUACGGGAGGCAGCAGUAGGGAAUCUUCCACAAUGGACGAAAGUCUGAUGGAGCAACGCCGCGUGAGUGAAGAAGGGUUUCGGCUCGUAAAACUCUGUUGUUAAAGAAGAACAUAUCUGAGAGUAACUGUUCAGGUAUUGACGGUAUUUAACCAGAAAGCCACGGCUAACUACGUGCCAGCAGCCGCGGUAAUACGUAGGUGGCAAGCGUUGUCCGGAUUUAUUGGGCGUAAAGCGAGCGCAGGCGGUUUUUUAAGUCUGAUGUGAAAGCCUUCGGCUCAACCGAAGAAGUGCAUCGGAAACUGGGAAACUUGAGUGCAGAAGAGGACAGUGGAACUCCAUGUGUAGCGGUGAAAUGCGUAGAUAUAUGGAAGAACACCAGUGGCGAAGGCGGCUGUCUGGUCUGUAACUGACGCUGAGGCUCGAAAGUAUGGGUAGCAAACAGGAUUAGAUACCCUGGUAGUCCAUACCGUAAACGAUGAAUGCUAAGUGUUGGAGGGUUUCCGCCUUUCAGUGCUGCAGCUAACGCAUUAAGCAUUCCGCCUGGGGAGUACGGCCGCAAGGGUGAAACUCAAAGGAAUUGACGGGGGCCCGCACAAGCGGUGGAGCAUGUGGUUUAAUUCGAAGCUACGCGAAGAGCCUUACCAGGUCUUGACAUACUAUGCAAAUCUAAGAGAUUAGACGUUCCCUUCGGGGACAUGGAUACAGGUGGUGCAUGGUUGUCGUCAGCUCGUGUCGUGAGAUGUUGGGUUAAGUCCCGCAACGAGCGCAACCCUUAUUAUCAGUUGCCAGCAUUAAGUUGGGCGCUCUGGUGAGACUGCCGGUGACAAACCGGAGGAAGGUGGGGAUGACGUCAAAUCAUCAUGCCCCUUAUGACCUGGGCUACACACCUG